Long non-coding RNA from Acanthochromis polyacanthus (spiny chromis), 1625 nucleotides. RefSeq lists it as uncharacterized. Lineage: Eukaryota; Metazoa; Chordata; Actinopteri; Pomacentridae. The transcript has 2 exons. The record is from RefSeq and is a predicted model, not a curated record.
UAUUGAAGGGGGAGGGUAUAAAUACGAUUGUCAGGAAUGGGACGCCCUGUCGCCUCACCGGAAAACGGAAGACGUCAUCGCCAUGGUAACACAAAGACGCCUACUGUGCAUGGCUGUAGCGCUGUGGCACAGGUUGCAACUAACAAGGAUCGCUGCUGCUUCCAGAAGACGAAAGCAUCCCACUUUUUUUCACUCGCAUUUUUUCCAAUCCUAUUAUCUGGCAUUUCAAAUCCAGCAAAUGAAUAAAUGAAUUCUGUCAGUUGUGUUCAAAUUUUAAGGUGUCAGGGGGUGCACAAUUAAAUCAAAUGUCAGCAGAGAAGAAGAUUUGUUUCUUUUGAUUUAUCUUUUUACACCACUCUUUUUGUGAUGUUCUGUCAGUGUGAAAAAGGCGUGGGAGAAAUAAAGGACGCAUGUGGAACUCACAUCAAUAUGUUUGUUUCCUCCUCCAUUUCGACGUUGCACUUCCUGAAAAAGUUGUCCAGAGUGAGCAUCGAUGCAGACUCGCUAUUUAAGGGCUGAACAGUCCACUCCCCCUCCGCCCUACGCGGUUUGGGACGGCACUUAAUAUGGAGGACCCUCCGCGGGAACGCGCAAACGGAGGGGUAGUGUGUAGGGAUAGUGUGUAGGGGGCGGUUUGGGAUUCAGCCUAUGACUCUAACCUGGUCGCCAGCAGGUUUAUCUGAGAAAACCUCGAGUUUCUCUCCGUCUCCACUCUCUUUCAGCCACACAUGCCGUUUCAUUUCCUCAUUCAUUCAGUCAGUAAGCGAGCGAGUUUUGGCGUAGAACAGCUUUUAUUAACGAUCCAGUGGAUAAAGGAGCAGCAUUACUGCACAGAUAAUUAAAUAUUCGUCGGUAGAUUGUUAUCAGACCGCGCAUAAAUGUUCUCGCAUUUCCGGACAAUUAUCGGUUUGAGCGGUACCGUUUCGUAAUCGUUUCAAGUCCAUAAUCUACAUAACCUAAUCCGUCCUUACAUUUACAUUACCAGCCGCAGUCAUGCUCUCACAUCCAGCAGAUAUUGUGUGUUGCGCUGCGGUUCUUUGCAAAUGAAAGUUUUUAUAUGAUGUCAGAGAUGCAGAGCGCUACAGUAAGACAACUGUAUGCAGGACAGUCAGAAAAGUUUUCCUGGCUCUGAAACGACUUUUACUCAUCAUUGUGGACAUAAACCUGUCAGAACAUCAAGGAGGAGUUCCACAGGAUUACAGGAGAGUUUGAUGGCCUUCUACUGGGUGACAGGGGUUACCAUGCCAACCCAGGCUGAUGACCUCAUACCCUGACCCUCAACCAGGCCCCCAACAGAACUUCAACCGGACUCACUGCAGGACCAGAGCCCGGGUGGAGAUGACCAUAGGCCUGCUGAAAGCCCGUUUCCAGAGCCUACGUCUCCUCAGGGUGACCCCUGAGAGGGCCUGUGAUAUUCCUGUGGCAUGUGUUGUUCUUCAUAAUAUUACCACUAUUAGAGGAGAGCAACACCCUGCCCUACAAACUGAAGACCCAGAUGAUGACCCCAUCCACCUGCAGCUAUCCAGGACAGCAGAGCAGUCAGAGACACCGUAUGCAAUAAUCACUUUAGAGUUUAAGUCACCAUCAUCACCACCACAGCAAAUAAAGACAUGAUACACAUUUCA